This is a long non-coding RNA of Cavia porcellus (domestic guinea pig), 1410 nucleotides long. RefSeq lists it as uncharacterized. NCBI's taxonomy places the organism in Eukaryota, Metazoa, Chordata, Mammalia, Rodentia, Caviidae. The transcript has 2 exons. The record is from RefSeq and is a predicted model, not a curated record.
GCGAACAAGACACCCCCCCACACACACUCGCACACCUGACCGUGGGAGGUGUGCAGGGCAGAGCAGCCUGAGCUGACACUCCACACGCAAGGAGGGUUGUGUGUUUGUGUUCACACAUAUGUGAGCAACUGCUCCAGCAGUCCUGGAGUGGAGAACCAGGAGCAGCAGCAGUGGCAGAGGUGGGGGGGGGGGGCGUGAGGCAGGAUAGCAUCUCCAGUGUGGCUCCAUCUUUGGCAUCUAAGAGCCAGGACAUGGGUGAGGAAUGAGUAGCUCUCCCGGUGCAUGGGCGUGUGGGUGUGCAGGGGUGCACGUGAGUGUAGUGACAGGGACACUGUGUGUGUGUGAGAGGCAGUGUGUGGGAAACUGUGUCCCCGAGCAGGAGCGUGUGCCAGCACCGAGCGUGAGUUAUGCACACAGAGUGAAUCCCAGUGUUGGAUCCAGAGCUGGGAAGGGGAGCAGCGAGAACAGGGAACAGAGGGGGGCCCUGGCAAGUGAGAGGCUGAGGGGUGCAUGAAAGAGGGAUGUGUGAGGGCGGCUGUGAGGGGAUGUGAGAGACACAGGCACCCAGUGUCCAUGAAGCCCGCUGCUGGGCCACUUCCCCAGAAAGCAGCCCUGAGUCUCUCCCUAGCCAGAGCCCCCCGCCUACCCCUCCUGUCACCUCGUCUGGUGGGCAGAAGAAUCCAGUAGCCCCAGAAGAAAAGGAAAGCAAGUGCAAAGUAGGGCUCAGCCAGUCUGGCCUUGGGACAGUGCAUCCCUUCCCUGCCAGCUGAGCAGCUUUGGGACCCCUGGGCUCACCUCGGAAUGCCCCUGGCCCCAGCCUUGGGCACCACAGCAGCUGCAGGACCAAGAAGAGGAGCGGCAGCCCUGGGGACCUGAAGAGAAAGAAGUUGGGAGAAAUAUACCUGAGAAGAGGAGGGAAUGCUGAGGGAUCCUUGGUGCUUACACCGAUGCCCAGAGACCACAGUUUCAGCUUCAUCUGGGGGAUUCUGGGCACUCACUUUACUGCUUUGGCCUGAUUUCUCCUCUGGAUAAUGUGUAAGUCAGAGGAAGUCUUGGCUGGAUCUUUCAGUCUGUUAUACCCAUCCCCUACACUGGGACUUACACAAGGAAAGAUUGCCUGUAAAAGUGCAUUGAAGGACACUCCAUUCAUCUUUUCCACUUUUUUCUUAUCUGUUAGUCUAAGCUUGAGAUCAGCAUGAGGCAAGGGUGCCUGCACUGACUAGGCACUUUAUGGCACUGCCACCUCACAAAGGGAUCUCAUCUCUACUUCACGGUCAAGGAAACAGAAGCCCAGAGAGGGUACGAGGUUUGCUUGCUCCAGAUCUCACAGCAGACAGACACUGGAUUCAAACCAGAACUUUGCUUUUCUAAAUACCAAAAGCAAUAAAGAAAUGAGGUCCAUAGCAGCAA